Molecule: transfer RNA, 72 nt
Filed under: Camelus bactrianus (Bactrian camel)
Lineage: Eukaryota; Metazoa; Chordata; Mammalia; Artiodactyla; Camelidae
Also listed under: 1 other name
Rfam family: tRNA
About the family: Transfer RNA (tRNA) molecules are approximately 80 nucleotides in length.
Source: Rfam by way of RNAcentral
GAGGGUACAGCUUAGCGGUAGAGCAUGUGCAUAGCAUGCGCAAGACCCCGGGUUCAACCCCCAGUACCUCCA